Long non-coding RNA from Thunnus maccoyii (southern bluefin tuna), 2643 nucleotides. RefSeq lists it as uncharacterized. The record is from RefSeq and is a predicted model, not a curated record. The transcript is spliced from 4 exons. Lineage: Eukaryota; Metazoa; Chordata; Actinopteri; Scombriformes; Scombridae.
CAUUAGUUCUGUCUGUAUUUAAGUCCUGGUUUUCAGUUCAGUCUUUUUGGAUCCUUGGUUUAGCUUUGUUCUGUUCAGUUUCGUCUCGCAUGUCUGUGUCCUGUUCCUGACUUGUUUUAUAAAUAUAUUCUUCAGUUCCUGUGCCUGACGUCUCCUGCGUUUGGGUCCACCUGCUCUGCUACUCCUAACAGGAACACUUUUCAGUAUAAUGCACCCCAGUACAUGCACCACCCACUAUGACCUCAAUAAUUAACAUAAAGUAGAAUUAUUACCUUUCUGACAAUGUCAACAACAUGUCAUAACUGAAAAUGUAUAAGGUCUGCAAAGCAAACCACUUAAAAUGAUGACAUUCACAGAGUCUAGAGGGAAAUGCUUCCUGAUUCCGAAGUGCAAAAACAUUCACCUGUGAAAGGGACAAGACAGCUUACUUUUUGCAGUUUGGACUCGCUCCUUACAUAAAGAAGGAGCUCAUCUCAAGAGUGAACAGAGAUUUGUUUAUCAUUGUGUUUGACGAGAGCAUGAACAGGACAACUAAGAAUAAACAACUAGACCUGCAUGUAAGACUCUGGACAAACGAUGAGACUGGCACCCACAUUUCUUUGGAUCACAAUUCACGGUCCAUUUGACAGCAGAUAACUUGUUGGAACAUUUCAAGAUGUGUACAAAGUACAUGGACCUGGUCAAAACAAAGAAGCUUCCCAACCCAGCGUCAUUGUCAUAUCGACCACCACUGAGGCCUGAAUGGAUCCCCUUCUUCUGGCCAAGUUCCAUCUCUUCAUGGCCAUUUCUAGUCCUCCAACCUUUUCUGACAAAAUACCAGAUGGAUGUUCCAGUGAUGUCCUUCCUCUGGAGAGGUCUGGAGGAUUUGAUGAGGAGUCUUCUAAGACACAAGGGGGAUGCCCUGGUUGUUACUCCAUACAAACUUGUAUGGCUUGACGUCACAGACCAGAAGCUCUGGGUCCAAAGGAGGUUGACAUCAGUAUUGGUGCAGCAGCUGCCGUCAAGGUGAUGUGAUUUCACAGCAGUUUGAGACCUUGUUCAACGAGGCCAAAGCUGUAAACAUCAUGUUCUUCAGUCUGCAAGACCAAGGCUCCAGAGUUGACGUGUUUUUACAUCAACACUUCUUACCCGGAGCUCUGGGGUUUUUGAAAGAAGUUGGUGCUCUUACAAGCAGAGGUUGAACGGAGGUUCUCAGACAAAAAAGAGGUGGAAGCAUGCAGUGUAGCAGAGGACACUAUUAUUGCACAGAGACUUGUCUGUGAACAUGUCAGAGUGUAUGGCGUGGUGACCAAAGUGCCUCUUACAGAGAUGCUGAAUGACUGUGCAACUGCACGCACCAGGUACACAGCUUAGCAAAAAGGAAAGAGAUGAGCAAAAGCUGAAAAGACAGAAUGCUGAAGAAAACCUUGAAGAGCUAAAGAAGAGGAGAAAAUCUAUACAAGAUGUAUACAAGAGUCUCCAAAAGGAUGCAGACAACUUUGCAGAAAAAGCAGAGAAUACUGCAGGGACCAGAAUGGCAACACACUGAGGAGACGAGCAAACGAAAAGAGAGAGCUGUUACUAGUCCUAAAUAGUGAAAUUGAUAAGAGGCUGCUGAGCUACAACACAUGUCAUGGGAGACAUGGUGUCCAUGGACAAAGAGGGUAAAACAACUGUAUUGACUGUUUCUGCCAGAAGUUCUAAAAAAGGAAAUACACAAAGUUUGGUGCUUAUUGAAUGAGAAAUGAAAAAUUGAAGAAGAUAAAAAUGAUUCAUCUCCAGAAAAUAACCAAGCAGACUUUAGGGGUACUUUGCACUUUUGUAGAACAAGUUGAGAUUGUGUCAUGUUGUGUUAUUAUGUUAUUUCCAUUGGACUGGGUUUACCACCACAGUUUUAUUUUUGUUAAUGAGAAAGCAGUUAUGUUAGCUAAUGUGCACUGAAUAUUUCUGUUAUUCAAAUUCAAUAACUCUCAAUACUGGUGUAUAGUGUAGUCUGUCAAAUUCUUUUGCUGCAGUAAUGGUAUUAUUUUUUUACUUUUAUAGGUAUUGAAAAGGUCUUAAAAGUCAUUAAAUUUGUUCUUAAAAAUGUGCAGAUACCCUGAUUUUGUAAUGUUGUUGUUUGGCAUAUACUGUAUGUAAUGAUGCUUUCAAACUGCUACUUACAUUAUUUAUACACAUAUUUGAGUAUCAUUAUUGUUUGUGUGUUAUCAUUGAGUGUCAUGGGCUGAAUUGGUAAUGCACAUACAGUUUUUCAGCCCCAGGUUGUUGUUGUUUUGUUUUUAGGUUCUCAAGUAGAGGGUAAUAUGGUAUAUUGCUUGAUGGGAUGUGUAAACAAGUUUGUUUUGUCUGUUGUCACAGCCUAUUCACAUAUUUCUUUUCCCUGUAAUAUUAGUUUAAUGGAACUCAUCCUGGCUUCUGUCACACAAAGGAUAAACUCAUUCACAUUUCUCUUCACACACUUAAUGUUUCGCUUAUUAUUACAGAGAGACAUUUAAACUUGAAACAGUGGGGUUAUUUGAGGACUUUUUUCACUGCUCAUCAUGAAGAUAUAAACUGCAAUUGUAUAUGUACUGAUGGUCAUCUGCUGCUCAGGAUAUAUGAAGAGAUUGUCGGCUCCUCACCUUGAAUGUUUGUGAUUUGAAUAAACCUAAGUUAAUAAUUAUA